GCCGAGAUGGCGGAAUUGGUAGACGCGCCGGACUCAAAAUCCGGUGGGGUAGCCCCCGUGUGGGUUCGAGUCCCACUCUCGGUACCA
This 87-nucleotide transfer RNA is filed under the name Gammaproteobacteria bacterium. RNAcentral describes it as "tRNA-Leu". It matches the Rfam family "tRNA". From Rfam's summary of the family: Transfer RNA (tRNA) molecules are approximately 80 nucleotides in length. Their secondary structure includes four short double-helical elements and three loops (D, anti-codon, and T loops). The record is from RNAcentral. Lineage: Bacteria; Pseudomonadati; Pseudomonadota; Gammaproteobacteria.